Molecule: ribosomal RNA, 309 nt
Filed under: uncultured bacterium
Lineage: Bacteria
Description: partial 16S ribosomal RNA
Rfam family: Bacterial small subunit ribosomal RNA
Source: RNAcentral
AGAGACAGCAGCCGCCGCGGUAAUACGUAGGUGGCGAGCGUUGUCCGGAAUUAUUGGGCGUAAAGGGAGCGCAGGCGGACAUAUAAGUCCAUCUUAAAAGUGCGGGGCUCAACCCCGUGAGGGGAUGGAAACUGUAUGCCUUGAGUGCAGGAGAGGAAAGCGGAAUUCCCAGUGUAGCGGUGAAAUGCGUAGAUAUUGGGAGGAACACCAGUGGCGAAGGCGGCUUUCUGGACUGCAACUGACGCUGAGGCUCGAAAGCCAGGGGAGCGAACGGGAUUAGAUACCCCUGUAGUCCCUGUCUCUUAUACA